This 199-nucleotide long non-coding RNA is filed under the name Lathyrus oleraceus (garden pea). Its description in RNAcentral is "Pisum sativum (pea) long non-coding RNA (PSAT_LNC013510)". Lineage: Eukaryota; Viridiplantae; Streptophyta; Magnoliopsida; Fabales; Fabaceae. The record is from RNAcentral.
AAUUUUUUCUAGUACCCCAAUCCUAAACUUAAACUUUUCUCACUUCCAAGAGCAACCCCAAACUUAAUAUUUUUCAUACACUUUAAGAACUUCACUUCUACCUAACUCCAAAGAGAGGGUGGAAAGAUAAGAUCUUUCAAGUCAUACGGCUAAAAAUUAAGGCUAAGUCACCGAAAGAAAGGCUAAGCUCAAAGUGGUU